Molecule: ribosomal RNA, 433 nt
Filed under: uncultured bacterium
Lineage: Bacteria
Description: bacterial SSU rRNA
Rfam family: Bacterial small subunit ribosomal RNA
Source: RNAcentral
AACGAACGCUGGCGGCAUGCCUAACACAUGCAAGUCGAACGAAGCCUUCGGGCUUAGUGGCGCACGGGUGCGUAACACGUGGGAAUCUGCCCUUCGGUUCGGAAUAACAGUUAGAAAUGACUGCUAAUACCGGAUGAUGACGUAAGUCCAAAGAUUUAUCGCCGAAGGAUGAGCCCGCGUAGGAUUAGGUAGUUGGUAGGGUAAUGGCCCACCAAGCCGACGAUCCUUAGCUGGUCUGAGAGGAUGAUCAGCCACACUGGGACUGAGACACGGCCCAGACUCCUACGGGAGGCAGCAGUGGGGAAUAUUGGACAAUGGGCGAAAGCCUGAUCCAGCAAUGCCGCGUGAGUGAUGAAGGCCUUAGGGUUGUAAAGCUCUUUUACCAGGGAUGAUAAUGACAGUACCUGGAGAAUAAGCUCCGGCUAACUCCGUG